UGAGCAGUGAAUAGCCGUUUUGCCCUCCAGCCCUGUUCUCUUCUCUUCGUUGGAGUCGCUGAAAGAAGGAAAACCUCUUCCCCUUCAUCGCAGCCCUCUCUCUCUCUCUAUUCCUCUCUCUCCUCCGCUGCGAACAUUUCCUUCGCUCAGAAAACCCAAUUCCAUCAUCUUUUUCUCACUGUGAGAACCGAAGCUGUGUUGGGGCCUCAAUUGGUGGCUAUGGGUGUGGUCGUGAAGAACCCAUCUGCGACAGCGUCGUUUAGGGUCCCAAAGACAUCCCCAUGGCGCGGAUCAGUUGGUGGAGGUACUGGGUUGAUGAUUGAGUAUUCGUCGAGGCCACAGAAGAAGGCCACUGCGCAUCACAGGAAGACUCGGCCUCGCAAAACGCAGCCAUGGGACGUGAAACGCAAGCCCACUGUGUACACUCUUCUGCCUCCUCUCCCUGCCGACUGGACAUUGGUCUCUUCUGCAGAUGAAGCUUCAUCUUCUUCCCCAAAAGAGCCACCCACUACUGAAUGUGAAGGAGGCUGCGUCAGAGGCAUCCCCUCGAAAUGCCCAGUUGAAUUGGAGGCGGCUUGGAUUGUGCAUCGAGUACUGAAGAGCUUGGAUUGUGCAGCAAGUACUGAAGUUGUUGUGGCACUGGAACACCAAGGAGUUUGUAAGUGAAAGGAGCUGCCAACAAAGGGCUAAUCUUCUACAAGUGGUGACUCAGAUUUUUGUUUUUUCAUCGCGCGGCACCAUUGCUAGUGUACAACUGUAGACACCAUCCACUAGAGUUAUAAUGCAGAGCUCCAUGCAUGUUCAGUAGACUGGGUACUCUGAUGAUUCCUUCAUGCAUCUGUUCACACACCGUUCCCCGCAAGCAUAAACUUUCUUAUUUAUCGGACUCAUAGGAGCCUGAUUAGGAGAUGGUGCAAGAGCUGAAAUUCGGAAGUCACUUAUUCUGUCAUCAUUAUCAUCAGCAUCUGUAUCAGUUAGAACACUUGUUGCCAAACACACUAUUAACACUACCAGUAUCACCAAACAUCUUUGUACAACCAUUCCACCCAUUUGCUCCCAACUCAAGUUCUAUACUUUUUGAAACUCAAUGUUGUGCUGUCAUUUUGAAGUUUUACCCUAGUUGUUUUAUAGGGUCUGUAAUAAUAAUAAU
Molecule: RNA transcript, 1150 nt
Organism: Prunus persica (peach)
Lineage: Eukaryota; Viridiplantae; Streptophyta; Magnoliopsida; Rosales; Rosaceae
Gene name: 50S ribosomal protein 6, chloroplastic
Exons: 4
Source: RefSeq, a predicted model, not a curated record